RNAcentral lists this long non-coding RNA (1056 nucleotides) under Apteryx haastii (Great spotted kiwi). RNAcentral's name for it is "lncRNA (ENSAHAG00000000068.1)". Lineage: Eukaryota; Metazoa; Chordata; Aves; Apterygiformes; Apterygidae. The record is from RNAcentral.
GGCUGGGGAGGGAGCAGCAGCUGCUGCUGCUCUGCUGCAGAGGUGUCAGUGGCUGCCCAACCCUCUGCAAUCCCAAGCUGCUCCUGGCACCUGGGGCAGCUCUUCCUUCUCAGCCUGCAGCACCACCUGCUAAGGCACUGCCAAAGGCCUCUCAGCAGCCCAGCCCAGUCCAGUCCAGCCCAGCCCAGCCCAGCCCAGCCCAGCCCAGCCCAGCCCAGAACAGCACAGCACAGCACAGCACAGCCCAGAACAGCACAGCCCAGCACAGCACUGCCCGCGGAGGCAAGGAGAGGCUGCAAGAGAGCUCCGCGGCCCCGGGCUGCACYGGGCGYGCAGGGUGUCUGUGCUGGCAGCGGCGGGGCAGCGUGGGGGCGGCGGUGGGUGGGAGAAAGCGCCUGUGCGCAGCCCUGCGCUGAGCUGUGCCCGGGUGGAGAGAGCCCGUGCGCCGGGCUGCUUUGCGCGAGGAGCCCUGCGGCCCUGCUCUGCCCGUCUGCCACGCCUGCCCUGCCUGCCUSCCUCCCUCCCUCUCGCCGCCUCGGUGCGCGCUGCGUGCCCUGGGCUCCUUGCUGGGCCGUGGCCAGCACAGCGGUGCCCUCCUUGCCUCAGCCACGGCCAGGGCUGCCGGUGGCUCCUCGACUCCGGCCCGGGCCUUUGCCCACCUGCUGCAGCUCCCAGGGCUCCGGGCAAGAGCAGCGGUGCACGUUGCUCCGUGCCUGUGCUCGCCGCCUGCCUGGCUGGGUGGCUUUGGGGAAGAAGGAUGGCUCUCGACGCCCGCCGACUGGUGCCCAGAGGUUUAUUUGCAGCGGCCGGGAGGGGAGCAGGGCGUCGAGCUCAGCGGGGCGCUCGCUAACGGCGCCUGCGGCCCGGCGCCGAGCUCCCUGCUUGCGCGCGGCAGCGGCUCCUCGCCUGGCGCCUCGCGGGCGCUCGCGGCCUCCUCCCGAGGAGGGCGGCGCAUCUGCGCACGGCCUUGCGCAGCGCUCGGAAGGCGCCGCAAGUGCAGCCCGGGCACAGCAGGGAGCCCAGCGGCGCUCUGCAGCCGGCAGCGGCGGCAGCGCG